Molecule: long non-coding RNA, 6012 nt
Organism: Anopheles funestus (African malaria mosquito)
Lineage: Eukaryota; Metazoa; Arthropoda; Insecta; Diptera; Culicidae
Exons: 3
Source: RefSeq, a predicted model, not a curated record
CAAAAAAAACGUAAGGGGUAAGCCUUAUGAAAUUUUCGAGUUGAAAUUUUUUUGAAAUUUUUUUUCGAUUUUUUAUUUUUUUUUUAGUUUAAGGCAUUAUUUGAGUGAAAAGAAACAUAUUGCAACAAAUUCCCAUGAAAAUAUAUCACAUUUUUCAAUUUUGCUAAAUUGUUCAAAAACAGGGUAAGGAACUUGGUUCCUCGAAUAACUUCUGGCACAGACAUCUGACGGUAUGGCUGUCCAAGAAGAAAAUGUAGCCAUUGGUGCCAUCUAUCGACCACAAGUUGAAGAUUGGCGAUCCGUUGGAUACCGACCGAGUUAUAGGCAAAUUUUGGUGCAAGAUUGACCCUUAGUAAAUUUUCAUUUUUUUGAAUUUUUUGAUUUUUUCAUUAUUUUUCACUCUUUUCUUUAUUUCAAUCAUUAUUUCAGUGAAAAGAAACUCAUUGCAACCAAUUGGGAUUAAAAUAAAACAAUUUUAUUUUUUUUUGCAAAAUUUCUCAAAAAAAAACGUAAGGGGUAAGCCUUAUGAAAUUUUCGAGUUGAAAUUUUUUUGAAAUUUUUUUUUCGAUUUUUUAUUCUUUUUUUAGUUUUAAGCAUUAUUUGAGUGAAAAGAAACAUAUUGCAACAAAUUCCCAUGAAAAUAUAUCACAGUUUUCAAUUUUGCUAAAUUGUUCAAAAACAGGGUAAGGAACUUGGUUCCUCGAAUAACUACUGGCACAGACAUCUGACGGUAUGGCCGUCCAAGAAGAAAAUGUAGCCAUUGGUGCCAUCUAUCGACCACAAGUUAAAGAUUGGCGAUCCGUUGGAUACCGACCGAGUUAUAGGCAAAAGUUGGUGCAAAAAUGAGAAAAAUUUUACAUUUUAUCAAACAGGGUAAGGAACUUGGUUCCUCGAAUAACUUCUGGCACACACAUCUGAGGGCAUGGCCGUCCAAGAAGAAAAUGUAGCCAUUAAUGCCAUCUAUCGACCACAGGUUAAAGAUUGGCGAUCCGUUGGAUACCGACCGAGUUAUAGGCAAAAGUUAGUGCAAAAAUGAGCCUUAGUAAAUUUUCAUUUUUUUGAAUUUUUUGAUUUUUUGAUUAUUUUUCACUCUUUUUUUUAUUUCAAUCAUUAUUUGAGUGAAAAGAAACUCAUUGCAACCAAUUGGGAUUAAAAUAAAACAAUUUUAUUUUUUUUUGCAAAAUUUCUCAAAAAAAACGUAAGGGGUAAGCCUUAUGAAAUUUUCGAGUUGAAAUUUUUUUGAAAUUUUUUUUUCGAUUUUUUAUUCUUUUUUUAGUUUAAGGCAUUAUUUGAGUGAAAAGAAACAUAUUGCAACAAAUUCCCAUGAAAAUAUAUCACAUUUUUCAAUUUUGCUAAAUUGUUCAAAAACAGGGUAAGGAACUUGGUUCCUCGAAUAACUUCUGGCACAGACAUCUGACGGUAUGGCUGUCCAAGAAGAAAAUGUAGCCAUUGGUGCCAUCUACCGACCACAAGUUAAAGAUUGGCGAUCCGUUGGAUACCGACCGAGUUAUAGGCAAAAGUUGGUGCAAAAAUGAGAAAAUUUUUACAUUUUCUCAAACAGGGUAAGGAACUUGGUUCCUCGAAUAACUUCUGGCACAUACAUCUGAGGGCAUGACCGUCCACGAAGAAAAUGUAGCCAUUGGUGCCAUCUAUCGACCACAGGUUAAAGAUUGGCGAUCCGUUGGAUACCGACCGAGUUAUAGGCAAAUUUUGGUGCAAAAAUGACCCUUAGUAAAUUUUCAGUUUUUUGAAUUUUUUGAUUUUUUCAUUAUUUUUCACUCUUUUUUUUAUUUCAAUCAUUAUUUGAGUGAAAAGAAACUCAUUGCAACCAAUUGGGAUUAAAAUAAAACAAUUUUAUUUUUUUUGCAAAAUUUCUCAAAAAAACGUAAGGGGUAAGCCUUAUGAAAUUUUCGAGUUGAAAUUUUUUUGAAAUUUUUUUUUCGAUUUUUUAUUCUUUUUUUAGUUUAAGGCAUUAUUUGAGUGAAAAGAAACAUAUUGCAACAAAUUCCCAUGAAAAUAUAUCACAUUUUUCAAUUUUGCUAAAUUGUUCAAAAACAGGGUAAGGAACUUGGUUCCUCGAAUAACUUCUGGCACAGACAUCUGACGGUAUGGUCGUCCAAGAAGAAAAUGUAGCCAUUGGUGCCAUCUAUCGACCACAAGUUAAAGAUUGGCGAUCCGUUGGAUACCGACCGAGUUAUAGGCGAAAGUUGGUGCAAAAAUGAGAAAAUUUUUACAUUUUAUCAAACAGGGUAAGGAACUUGGUUCCUCGAAUAACUUCUGGCACAGACAUCUGAGGGCAUGGCCGUCCAAGAAGAAAAUGUAGCCAUUGAUGCCAUCUAUCGACCACAGGUUAAAGAUUGGCGAUCCGUUGGAUACCGACCGAGUUAUAGCCAAAACUUGGUGCAAAAAUGACCCUUAGUAAAUUUUCAGUUUUUUGAAUUUUUUGAUUUUUUCAUUAUUUUUCACUCUUUUUUUUAUUUCAAUCAUUAUUUGAGUGAAAAGAAACUCAUUGCAACCAAUUGGGAUUAAAAUAAAACAAUUUUAUUUUUUUUGCAAAAUUUCUCAAAAAAAACGUAAGGGGUAAGCCUUAUGAAAUUUUCGAGUUGAAAUUUUUUUGAAAUUUUUUUUCGAUUUUUUAUUUUUUUUUAGUUUAAGGCAUUAUUUGAGUGAAAAGAAACAUAUUGCAACAAAUUCCCAUGAAAAUAUAUCACAUUUUUCAAUUUUGCUAAAUUGUUCAAAAACAGGGUAAGGAACUUGGUUCCUCGAAUAACUUCUGGCACAGACAUCUGACGGUAUGGCUGUCCAAGAAGAAAAUUUAGCCAUUGGUGCCAUCUAUCGACCACAAGUUAAAGAUUGGCGAUCCGUUGGAUACCGACCGAGUUAUAGGCAAAAGUUGGUGCAAAAAUGAGAAAAUUUUUACAUUUUAUCAAACAGGGUAAGGAACUUGGUUCCUCGAAUAACUUCUGGCACAGACAUCUGAGGGCAUGGCCGUCCAAGAAGAAAAUGUAGCCAUUGAUGCCAUCUAUCGACCACAGGUUAAAGAUUGGCGAUCCGUUGGAUACCGACCGAGUUAUAGCCAAAACUUGGUGCAAAAAUGACCCUUAGUAAAUUUUCAGUUUUUUGAAUUUUUUGAUUUUUUUAUUAUUUUUCACUCUUUUUUUUAUUUCAAUCAUUAUUUGAGUGAAAAGAAACUCAUUGCAACCAAUUGGGAUUAAAAUAAAACAAUUUUAUUUUUUUUGCAAAAUUUCUCAAAAAAAACGUAAGGGGUAAGCCUUAUGAAAUUUUCGAGUUGAAAUUUUUUUGAAAUUUUUUUUUCGAUUUUUUAUUCUUUUUUUAGUUUAAAGCAUUAUUUGAGUGAAAAGAAACAUAUUGCAACAAAUUCCCAUGAAAAUAUAUCACAUUUUUCAAUUUUGCUAAAUUGUUCAAACACAGGGUAAGGAACUUGGUUCCUCGAAUAACUUCUGGCACAGACAGCUGACGGUAUGGUCGUCCAAGAAGAAAAUGUAGCCAUUGGUGCCAUCUAUCGACCACAGGUUAAAGAUUGGCGAUCCGUUGGAUACCGACCGAGUUAUAGGCAAAAGUUGGUGCAAAAAAGAGAAAAACUUUACAUUUUAUCAAACAGGGUAAGGAACUUGGUUCCUCGAAUAACUUCUGGCACACACAUCUGAGGGCAUGGCCGUCCAAGAAGAAAAUGUAGCCAUUGAUGCCUUCUAUCGACCACAGGUUAAAGAUUGGCGAUCCGUUGGAUACCGACCGAGUUAUAGGCAAAAUUUGGUGCAAAAAUGACCCUUAGUAAAUGUUCAAUUUUUUGAAUUUUUUGAUUUUUUGAUUAUUUUUCACUCUUUUUUUUAUUUCAAUCAUUAUUUGAGUGAAAAGAAACUCAUUGCAACCAAUUGGGAUUAAAAUAAAACAAUUUUAUUUUUUUUGCAAAAUUUCUCAAAAAAAACGUAAGGGGUAAGCCUUAUGAAAUUUUCGAGUUGAAAUUUUUUUGAAAUUUUUUUUCGAUUUUUUAUUUUUUUUUUUAGUUUAAGGCAUUAUUUGAGUGAAAAGAAACAUAUUGCAACAAAUUCCCAUGAAAAUAUAUCACAUUUUUCAAUUUUGCUAAAUUGUUCAAAAACAGGGUAAGGAACUUGGUUCCUCGAAUAACUUCUGGCACAGACAUCUGACGGUAUGGCUGUCCAAGAAGAAAAUGUAGCCAUUGGUGCCAUCUAUCGACCACAAGUUAAAGAUUGGCGAUCCGUUGGAUACCGACCGAGUUAUAGGCAAAAGUUGGUGCAAAAAUGAGAAAAAUUUUACAUUUUAUCAAACAGGGUAAGGAACUUGGUUCCUCGAAUAACUUCUGGCACACACAUCUGAGGGCAUGGCCGUCCAAGAAGAAAAUAUAGCCAUUGAUGCCAUCUAUCGACCACAGGUUAAAGAUUGGCGAUCCGUUGGAUACCGACCGAGUUAUAGGCAAAUUUUGGUGCAAAAAUGACCCUUAGUAAAUUUUCAGUUUUUUGAAUUUUUUGAUUUUUUCAUUAUUUUUCACUCUUUUUUUUAUUUCAAUCAUUAUUUGAGUGAAAAGAAACUCAUUGCAACCAAUUGGGAUUAAAAUAAAACAAUUUUAUUUUUUUUGCAAAAUUUCUCAAAAAAACGUAAGGGGUAAGCCUUAUGAAAUUUUCGAGUUGAAAUUUUUUUGAAAUUUUUUUUUCGAUUUUUUAUUCUUUUUUUAGUUUAAAGCAUUAUUUGAGUGAAAAGAAACAUAUUGCAACAAAUUCCCAUGAAAAUAUAUCACAUUUUUCAAUUUUGCUAAAUUGUUCAAAACCAGGGUAAGGAACUUGGUUCCUCGAAUAACUUCUGGCACAGACAUCUGACGGUAUGGCCGUCCAAGAAGAAAAUGUAGCCAUUGGUGCCAUCUAUCGACCACAAGUUAAAGAUUGGCGAUCCGUUGGAUACCGACCGAGUUAUAGGCAAAAGUUGGUGCAAAAAUGAGAAAAUUUUUACAUUUUAUCAAACAGGGUAAGGAACUUGGUUCCUCGAAUAACUUCUGGCACAGACAUCUGAGGGCAUGGCCGUCCAAGAAGAAAAUAUAGCCAUUGAUGCCAUCUAUCGACCACAGGUUAAAGAUUGGCGAUCCGUUGGAUACCGACCGAGUUAUAGCCAAAACUUGGUGCAAAAAUGACCCUUAGUAAAUUUUCAGUUUUUUGAAUUUUUUGAUUUUUUCAUUAUUUUUCACUCUUUUUUUUAUUUCAAUCAUUAUUUGAGUGAAAAGAAACUCAUUGCAACCAAUUGGGAUUAAAAUAAAACAAUUUUAUUUUUUUUGCAAAAUUUCUCAAAAAAAACGUAAGGGGUAAGCCUUAUGAAAUUUUCGAGUUGAAAUUUUUUUGAAAUUUUUUUUUUCGAUUUUUUAUUCUUUUUUUAGUUUAAAGCAUUAUUUGAGUGAAAAGAAACAUAUUGCAACAAAUUCCCAUGAAAAUAUAUCACAUUUUUCAAUUUUGCUAAAUUGUUCAAACACAGGGUAAGGAACUUGGUUCCUCGAAUAACUUCUGGCACAGACAUCUGACGGUAUGGUCGUCCAAGAAGAAAAUGUAGCCAUUGGUGCCAUCUAUCGACCACAGGUUAAAGAUUGGCGAUCCGUUGGAUACCGACCGAGUUAUAGGCAAAAGUUGGUGCAAAAAUGAGAAAAUUUUUACAUUUUAUCAAACAGGGUAAGGAACUUGGUUCCUCGAAUAACUUCUGGCACAGACAUCUGAGGGCAUGGCCGUCCAAGAAGAAAAUGUAGCCAUUGAUGCCAUCUAUCGACCACAGGUUAAAGAUUGGCGAUCCGUUGGAUACCGACCGAGUUAUAGGCAAAACUAGGUGCAAAAAUGAGCCUUAGUAAAUUUUCAUAUUUUUGAAUUUUUUGAUUUUUUUAUUAUUUUUCACUCUUUUUUCAUUUAAAGCAUUACUUGAGUGAAAAGAAACACAUUGCAACCAGUUGGGAUUAAAAUAAAUCAAUUUAAUUUUUUUUGCAAAAUUUCCCAAUAAAGACGU